UCUAAUAUGGCAGAUUAGUGCACUGGAUUUAAACCCCAAACAUAAGAUUUAUCUUUUUUAGAA
Molecule: transfer RNA, 63 nt
Filed under: Agasicles hygrophila
Lineage: Eukaryota; Metazoa; Arthropoda; Insecta; Coleoptera; Chrysomelidae
Description: tRNA-Leu
Source: RNAcentral